Molecule: ribosomal RNA, 445 nt
Filed under: uncultured bacterium
Lineage: Bacteria
Description: partial 16S ribosomal RNA
Rfam family: Bacterial small subunit ribosomal RNA
Source: RNAcentral
GUGAGGAAUAUUGGUCAAUGGGCGGGAGCCUGAACCAGCCAAGUCGCGUGAAGGAAGAAGGAUCUAUGGUUCGUAAACUUCUUUUGCAGGGGAAUAAAGUGCAGGACGUGUCCUGUUUUGUAUGUACCCUGAGAAUAAGGAUCGGCUAACUCCGUGCCAGCAGCCGCGGUAAUACGGAGGAUCCGAGCGUUAUCCGGAUUUAUUGGGUUUAAAGGGUGCGUAGGUGGUUUGAUAAGUCAGCGGUGAAAGUUUGCAGCUUAACUGUAAAAAUGCCGUUGAAACUGUCGGUCUUGAGUGUAAAUGAGGUAGGCGGAAUGCGUGGUGUAGCGGUGAAAUGCAUAGAUAUCACGCAGAACUCCGAUUGCGAAGGCAGCUUACUAAGCUACAACUGACACUGAAGCACGAAAGCGUGGGGAUCAAACAGGAUUAGAUACCCGGGUAGUCC